AUUGAACGCUGGCGGCAUGCCUUACACAUGCAAGUCGAACGGCAGCACGGGAGCAAUCCUGGUGGCGAGUGGCGAACGGGUGAGUAAUAUAUCGGAACGUGCCCAGUCGUGGGGAUAACGUAGCGAAAGCUACGCUAAUACCGCAUACGAUCUACGGAUGAAAGCGGGGGAUCGCAAGACCUCGCGCGAUUGGAGCGGUCGAUAUCAGAUUAGGUAGUUGGUGAGGUAAAGGCUCACCAAGCCGACGAUCUGUAGCUGGUCUGAGAGGACGACCAGCCACACUGGGACUGAGACACGGCCCAGACUCCUACGGAGGCAGCAGUGGGGAAUUUUGGGACAAUGGGCGCAAGACCUGAUCCAGCAAUGCCGC
Molecule: ribosomal RNA, 370 nt
Filed under: uncultured bacterium
Lineage: Bacteria
Description: bacterial SSU rRNA
Rfam family: Bacterial small subunit ribosomal RNA
Source: RNAcentral